GACGAACGCGGGCGGCGUGCCUAAUACAUGCAAGUAGAACGCUGAAGAGAGGAGCUUGCUCUUCUGGAUGAGUUGCGAACGGGUGAGUAACGCGUAGGUAACCUGCCUUGUAGCGGGGGAUAACUAUUGGAAACGAUAGCUAAUACCGCAUAACAAUGGAUGACACAUGUCAUUUAUUUGAAAGGGGCAAUUGCUCCACUACAAGAUGGACCUGCGUUGUAUUAGCUAGUAGGUGAGGUAACGGCUCACCUAGGCGACGAUACAUAGCCGACCUGAGAGGGUGAUCGGCCACACUGGGACUGAGACACGGCCCAGACUCCUACGGGAGGCAGCAGUAGGGAAUCUUCGGCAAUGGGGGCAACCCUGACCGAGCAACGCCGCGUGAGUGAAGAAGGUUUUCGGAUCGUAAAGCUCUGUUGUAAGUCAAGAACGAGUGUGAGAGUGGAAAGUUCACACUGUGACGGUAGCUUACCAGAAAGGGACGGCUAACUACGUGCCAGCAGCCGCGGUAAUACGUAGGUCCCGAGCGUUGUCCGGAUUUAUUGGGCGUAAAGCGAGCGCAGGCGGUUUGAUAAGUCUGAAGUUAAAGGCUGUGGCUCAACCAUAGUUCGCUUUGGAAACUGUCAAACUUGAGUGCAGAAGGGGAGAGUGGAAUUCCAUGUGUAGCGGUGAAAUGCGUAGAUAUAUGGAGGAACACCGGUGGCGAAAGCGGCUCUCUGGUCUGUAACUGACGCUGAGGCUCGAAAGCGUGGGGAGCGAACAGG
Molecule: ribosomal RNA, 764 nt
Filed under: uncultured Streptococcus sp.
Lineage: Bacteria; Bacillati; Bacillota; Bacilli; Lactobacillales; Streptococcaceae
Description: bacterial SSU rRNA
Rfam family: Bacterial small subunit ribosomal RNA
Source: RNAcentral